Brassica napus (rape) is the source of this 1383-nucleotide long non-coding RNA. RefSeq lists it as uncharacterized. The transcript is spliced from 5 exons. The record is from RefSeq and is a predicted model, not a curated record. Lineage: Eukaryota; Viridiplantae; Streptophyta; Magnoliopsida; Brassicales; Brassicaceae.
UAUGACAUUUACUAAAUAUUUAUCAAUUGAAAAAAUAAUAAUAUUAAACCCGCGUUUUAAAAGCGCGGGUCAAAAUCUAGUAUCUUAUACUAUAAAGUAGAAGUUAACUCUCUUCUCCUCUUGCCACCUCAUCAAAUAGGAGUAGGAGAGCGCGACACGUGUCCAGCUUUCUGAUUUUUUUUUCUUUUUCGUUAAAAUGUUUGUGUUUUAAGGGUUUAAUUGUUAUGGGCUGAUCUUUAUCAUUAUAAAAGCCCAAUACACACAUUCUUGGUCUUCUAAAAUUGUAUUAAUUUCUAGGGUUCAUGAUGUUUUUUCAACUUCUGAUUUCUUAAACGACCAUGGAUUUUGUCGUUCGUGUCGAUUCGGCUGGUUUUCUUCUCACCGGCAAACGGACUGCAUUCAAUCGUUGUCAUUAACAACCUUCUUAACUCCUUCUCCCCACUCCAUCCAUGAUUCUUCAUACAAUGCAUCCUUCACUAUCUUCUGUUCUCUGAAUCUGCAGCUAUAAAUAGAUUAGAAUGGCCAACUUCGCUCUCCUUCCCGCUGACUUGAAAGUUGGGCACAGUGUAGCACCACCGUCGAAGUUCGCCAGAUAAGAGUAGUGGUCUCAUCUUUCAAGUGUUCAAUCAUCAUCAUCAUCGGAAUUUCAUAAGAGAGAAGGAGAGAUACUGAGCAAACGUUAAAAGCUUUACCUUCAAUGAAAUCAGACUUGCAACUAGAAACUUCAGAUCAAACUCUCUUGGUGACGCUGAGUCCUGAUCAAGGUCAGUUGGAAAGCAUCGUAUUUUGUUGUACGCUUCGACUCCUUUUACUCUUGAUAUAAUUUCGUAAUCGUUUUGGAAGACGGAUGGAUUAAUGCAUCCUCAUUGAUGAUCACAUUAACACUAAUUUCCCACUACUCACAAGAUCUAUCAUUCAAUGAAUCUCAUUGAAUCAUUUGCUUGAAUCCUCCACUAUAACUAUCAGCGACGGUUAUGGCGACCUCAUCCAUUUUACUCGCCGAUUUGAAGCCCGGCCUUUGUAGCUCCACCGUUGAAUCUCCCUCAGAUUAUGGGACGCUGGGAUUGUGAAGGAAUCCGGUGACUUUAUGGGUGUUGAUAUGCUUCUCCUUGAUGCACAAGUAAUUUUGUUACUUUCUAAGAAGAAAGGAAGGGAGAACGAACAAAGAAUUUCAAAUGGAAUCAACGAGGCUGUGGAGAAAUAAUGCUCUCUAUGUUUUAUCUUUUGAAAACAUGCGAUAUAUCAAAUUCAAGAGAGUUCACACAACAUUUUAGACAAAAUGGAAGGUCGGUUUCUUUAUUUUUGUUUGUAACUACGUAGCUGGGUGUUGCUUGGAUGUAAUUGAGAUUAAUAUUUGAUUAAUACUGUUGCCAGCUUGAUAAA